Molecule: long non-coding RNA, 341 nt
Filed under: Prunus persica (peach)
Lineage: Eukaryota; Viridiplantae; Streptophyta; Magnoliopsida; Rosales; Rosaceae
Description: long non-coding RNA (PPER_LNC002000)
Source: RNAcentral
UUUGAAGAGAGAGAAAGUGGUUGCAGUUUUAAUGACUGAGGUUGAAGAGGCUGUUGGAGAUGCUCUAAGGGUUUGAUUAAAAAAAUGGUAAUAUACAUUGUUGGUUAUCGUAUUUUGACUCGAUUUUGUUUUUUAUUACUGCAUUUUAUUUUUCUCUAGGCUAAACUGGCGAUUUGUUCCUUGAACUUGUACCUAAUUUUCAAUUGAUCCCUAUCUUUUUAAAAAAAAAUUAAGGAUAUUAAAUGUUCCCUUGUUGUCUAAAAAACAACAUGUGUUUCUUUUCUUCUUCUUUUUUCCCUUAACGCUUUGAACCAAACCUUUUGGCUGGUUUUAACUAAAGC